CCGACGGUGAGGGGUGAAAGCUGGUGGAGCAAACCGGAUUAGAUACCCGGGUAGUCCCAGCCGUAAACGAUGUGCGUUAGGUGUAUCGGUGACCACGAGUCACCGAGGUGCCGAAGAGAAAUCGUGAAACGUACCGCCUGGGAAGUACGGUCGCAAGGCUGAAACUUAAAGGAAUUGGCGGGGGAGCACCACAACAGGUGGAGCCUGCGGUUUAAUCGGACUCAACGCCGGAAAACUCACCAGAUAA
Molecule: ribosomal RNA, 247 nt
Filed under: uncultured archaeon
Lineage: Archaea
Description: partial 16S ribosomal RNA
Rfam family: Archaeal small subunit ribosomal RNA
Source: RNAcentral